This 161-nucleotide ribosomal RNA is filed under the name uncultured bacterium. RNAcentral's name for it is "partial 16S rRNA". It matches the Rfam family "Bacterial small subunit ribosomal RNA", at positions 358 to 511 of the family's 1533-position model. The record is from RNAcentral.
GGAAUCUUCCACAAUGGGCGCGAGCCUGAUGGAGCAACACCGCGUGAGUGAAGAAGGGUUUCGGCUCGUAAAGCUCUGUUGUUAAAGAAGAACACGUAUGAGAGUAACUGUUUAUACGUUGACGGUAUUUAACCAGAAAGUCACGGCUAACUACGUGCCAG